This 511-nucleotide ribosomal RNA is filed under the name uncultured bacterium. RNAcentral's name for it is "bacterial SSU rRNA". It matches the Rfam family "Bacterial small subunit ribosomal RNA", at positions 158 to 645 of the family's 1533-position model. The record is from RNAcentral.
GCGGGCUAAUACAGCAUGGGACCACAUGGUUUUUGACCGAGUGGUGAAAGCGGGCCUCUGUUCACAAGCUCGCGCUCUGGGAUGGGUCUGCGGCCCAUCAGCUAGUUGGUGAGGUAACGGCUCACCAAGGCAACGACGGGUAGCUGGUCUGAGAGGAUGACCAGCCACACUGGAACUGAGACACGGUCCAGACUCCUACGGGAGGCAGCAGUGGGGAAUCUUGCGCAAUGGGCGAAAGCCUGACGCAGCGACGCCGCGUGGGUGAUGAAGGCCCUCGGGGUUGUAAAGCCCUGUGGGGAGGAACGAACCGUUCGGGGUGAACAUCCUCCGGGCUUGACGGUACCUCCUUAGCAAGCAUCGGCUAACUCUGUGCCAGCAGCCGCGGUAAGACAGAGGAUGCGAACGUUGCUCGGAAUUACUGGGCGUAAAGCGCGCGCAGGUUGCCUUGUAAGUCGUGUGUGAAAUCCCUCUGCUCAACGGAGGAAGUGCACGGGAUACGUGCAAGGCUAGG